AUACGGAGGGUGCAAACGUUAAUCGGAAUUACUGGGCGUAAAGCGCGCGUAGGUGGAUUAGUAAGUCGGAUGUGAAAGCCCUGGGCUCAACCUGGGAAUUGCAUUCGAUACUGCUUGACUAGAGUAUGGUAGAGGGAAGUGGAAUUUCCGGUGUAGCGGUGAAAUGCGUAGAUAUCGGAAGGAACACCAGGGGCGAAGGCGACUUCCUGGGCCAAUACUGACGCUGAGGUGCGAAAGCGUGGGGAGCAAACAGGAUUAGAUACCCCGGUAGUCC
This 274-nucleotide ribosomal RNA is filed under the name uncultured bacterium. Its description in RNAcentral is "partial 16S ribosomal RNA". It matches the Rfam family "Bacterial small subunit ribosomal RNA", at positions 523 to 796 of the family's 1533-position model. The record is from RNAcentral.